UACAGAGGUCCCAAGCGUUGUUCGGAUUCACUGGGUUUAAAGGGUGCGUAGGUGGGCAAGUAAGUCAGUGGUGAAAUCUCCGGGCUUAACCCGGAAACUGCCAUUGAUACUAUUUGUCUUGAAUACUGUGGAGGUCAGCGGAAUAUGUCAUGUAGCGGUGAAAUGCUUAGAUAUGACAUAGAACACCAAUUGCGAAGGCAGCUCGUUACACGAAUAUUGACUCUGAGGCACGAAAGCGUGGGGAUCAAACAGG
RNAcentral lists this ribosomal RNA (253 nucleotides) under uncultured bacterium. RNAcentral's name for it is "partial 16S ribosomal RNA". It matches the Rfam family "Bacterial small subunit ribosomal RNA", at positions 524 to 776 of the family's 1533-position model. The record is from RNAcentral.